RNAcentral lists this unclassified non-coding RNA (330 nucleotides) under soil metagenome. Its description in RNAcentral is "partial contains 5.8S ribosomal RNA, internal transcribed spacer 2, and large subunit ribosomal RNA". The stretch from base 1 to 120 matches the Rfam family "5.8S ribosomal RNA", at positions 35 to 154 of the family's 154-position model. The record is from RNAcentral.
GAUGAAGAACGUAGCGAAAUGCGAUAAGUAGUGUGAAUUGCAGAAUUCAGUGAAUCAUCGAAUCUUUGAACGCACAUUGCGCCCCUUGGUAUUCCAUGGGGCAUGCCUGUUCGAGCGUCAUUUGUACCCUCAAGCUUUGCUUGGUGUUGGGCGUCUUGUCGUAUUACGACUCGCCUUAAAUACAUUGGCAGCCGGCACUUUGGCCUAGGAGCGCAGCACAUUUUGCGAUCGUAGCCCGUUGUACUGGCGUCCAUCAAGAACAUUUACCACGUUUGACCUCGGAUCAGGUAGGGAUACCCGCUGAACUUAAGCAUAUCAAUAAGCGGAGGG